RNAcentral lists this ribosomal RNA (586 nucleotides) under uncultured bacterium. RNAcentral describes it as "bacterial SSU rRNA". It matches the Rfam family "Bacterial small subunit ribosomal RNA", at positions 334 to 917 of the family's 1533-position model. The record is from RNAcentral.
UACUCCUACGGGAGGCAGCAGUGGGGAAUAUUGCACAAUGGGCGCAAGCCUGAUGCAGCGACGCCGCGUGCGGGAUGGAGGCCUUCGGGUUGUAAACCGCUUUUAUAGGGGGGCAAGCUAUGCCUGUGUGGUGUGGUGAGUGGACUUUAUGAAUAAGCACCGGCUAACUACGUGCCAGCAGCCGCGGUAAUACGUAGGGUGCAAGCGUUGUCCGGAUUUAUUGGGCGUAAAGGGCUCGUAGGCGGUUUGUUGCGUCUGGUGUGAAAGCUUACUGCUUAACGGUAGGUUGCGCUGGAUACGGGCAGGCUUGAGUGCAGUAGGGGAGACUGGAAUUCUCGGUGUAACGGUGGAAUGUGUAGAUAUCGGGAAGAACACCUAUGGCGAAGGCAGGUCUCUGGGCUGUUACUGACGCUGAGGAGCGAAAGCGUGGGGAGCGAACAGGAUUAGAUACCCUGGUAGUCCAUGCUGUAAACGGUGGACGCUGGAUGUGGGGCCCAUUUCCACGGGUUCUGUGUCGGAGCUAACGCGUUAAGCGUCCCGCCUGGGGAGUACGGCCGCAAGGUUAAAACUCAAAGGAAUUGACGGA